GACGAACGCUGGCGGCGUGCUUAACACAUGCGAGUCGAACGGUGAAGCGCCUUCCUUUUUGGUGGGUGUGGAUGAGUGGCGAACGGGUGAGUAACACGUGAGUAACCUGCCCCCUUCUUCUGGAUAACCGCAUGAAAGUGUGGCUAAUACGGGAUAUUCUGGGUCUGUCGCAUGAUGGGUCUGGGAAAGAUAUUGUUUCGGUGGGGGAUGGGCUCGCGGCCUAUCAGCUUGUUGGUGGGGUGAUGGCCUACCAAGGCGGUGGCGGGUAGCCGGCCUGGGAGGGUGGACGGUCACACUGGGACUGAGACACGGCCCAGACUCCUACGAGAGGCAGCAGUGGGGAAUAUUGCACAAUGGGCGCAAGCCUGAUGCAGCGACGCCGCGUGAGGGAUGGAGGCCUGCGGGUUGUGAACCUCUUUCGCCAGUGAAGCAGGCCUGCCUCGUUUGUGGGUGGGUUGACGGUAGCUGGAUAAGAAGCGCCGGCUAACUACGUG
Molecule: ribosomal RNA, 494 nt
Filed under: uncultured bacterium
Lineage: Bacteria
Description: partial 16S ribosomal RNA
Rfam family: Bacterial small subunit ribosomal RNA
Source: RNAcentral